GACGAACGCUGGCGGCGUGCCUAACACAUGCAAGGUCACGGGGGCCCAGGGGCAACUCUGGGCAACCGGCGAACGGGUGCGUAACACGUGAGCAACCUGCCUAUCUGCGGGGGAUAGCCGGCCCAACGGCCGGGUAAUACCGCAUACGUUCACGAGGGGACAUCCCCUUGUGAGGAAAACUCCGGUGCAGAUAGAGGGGCUCGCGGCCUAUCAGCUAGUUGGUGAGGUAACGGCUCACCAAGGCGACGACGGGUAGCUGGUCUGAGAGGAUGGCCAGCCACAUUGGGACUGCGACACGGCCCAGACUCCUACGGGAGGCAGCAGUGGGGAAUAUUGCGCAAUGGACGAAAGUCUGACGCAGCGACGCCGCGUGUGGGAUGAAGCUCUUCGGGGGUGU
This 397-nucleotide ribosomal RNA is filed under the name uncultured bacterium. Its description in RNAcentral is "bacterial SSU rRNA". It matches the Rfam family "Bacterial small subunit ribosomal RNA", at positions 28 to 426 of the family's 1533-position model. The record is from RNAcentral.